GGUUAUUUAACCUGUUUUGCUAAUAGGAAGCUAAGGAGGGAAGGACAGUUGAACCAAUUGAACUUUAUGACAUGACACAUUUUUGUCGAAAGAAGAAUGCUAUGGUUGAUGAGACAUCAGCUGAAAAACUGGUAAGAAAAAUAUCACUUUCAACUUAAUACCAAUGCUUCAUGUCUCUUAUGCAUAUAUCAAUAAUAGCAAACCUGUGAUUGUAGAGCAAAAUGAAGGACUUACAGCUAGAAGCUCAAUCUAGUGGUGUAAAUCGAACCGAAGAAGACAUUUGUAUUGAAGUGACUGGGCGUAUAACUGGAUAUGUACGUGGUCGUGGCCCCUCCAAGGCUAGUUUAAUUACACAAAAACUUGCAGAGAUAGAAGAAUUCAAGAAAAGGGCAGAACAAGCUGAG
Molecule: long non-coding RNA, 404 nt
Filed under: Coffea arabica (coffee)
Lineage: Eukaryota; Viridiplantae; Streptophyta; Magnoliopsida; Gentianales; Rubiaceae
Description: long non-coding RNA (CARA_LNC000493)
Source: RNAcentral